Molecule: ribosomal RNA, 753 nt
Filed under: uncultured bacterium
Lineage: Bacteria
Description: bacterial SSU rRNA
Rfam family: Bacterial small subunit ribosomal RNA
Source: RNAcentral
UAACCUGCCUUAUACAGGGGGAUAACAGUUGGAAACGACUGCUAAUACCGCAUAAGCGCACAGUGCCGCAUGGCAUAGUGCGAAAAACUCCGGUAGUAUAAGAUGGACCCGCGUCUGAUUAGCUAGUUGGUGAGGUAACGGCUCACCAAGGCGACGAUCAGUAGCCGGCUUGAGAGAGUGAUCGGCCACAUUGGGACUGAGACACGGCCCAAACUCCUACGGGAGGCAGCAGUGGGGAAUAUUGCACAAUGGGGGAAACCCUGAUGCAGCAACGCCGCGUGAGUGAAGAAGUAUUUCGGUAUGUAAAGCUCUAUCAGCAGGGAAGAUAAUGACGGUACCUGACUAAGAAGCCCCGGCUAACUACGUGCCAGCAGCCGCGGUAAUACGUAGGGGGCAAGCGUUAUCCGGAUUUACUGGGUGUAAAGGGAGCGUAGGCGGCUUGGCAAGUCUGAUGUGAAAGCCCAGGGCUCAACCCUGGGACUGCAUUGGAAACUGUCAGGCUAGAGUGCAGGAGAGGUAAGUGGAAUUCCUAGUGUAGCGGUGAAAUGCGUAGAUAUUAGGAGGAACCUCAGUGGCGAAGGCGGCUUACUGGACUGUAACUGACGCUGAGGCUCGAAAGCGUGGGGAGCCAACAGGAUUAGAUACCCUGGUAGUCCACGCUGUAAACGAUGAAUACUAGGUGUCGGGUCCCUCAAGGAUUCCGUGGCGCAGCUAACGCAAUAAGUAUUCCACCUGGGGAGUACGCUCCCAAGA